This 1244-nucleotide ribosomal RNA is filed under the name metagenome. Its description in RNAcentral is "bacterial LSU rRNA". It matches the Rfam family "Bacterial large subunit ribosomal RNA", at positions 1564 to 2818 of the family's 2925-position model. The record is from RNAcentral.
UGAAUACGAGAUGCUACGGCGUCGAAGCAGUCUAUGUCAUACUUCCAAGAAAAGCUCGCACUGUCAUAAACAAAUAAUGCCUGUACCAUAACCGACACAGGUGGGUAGGUAGAGUAUACUAAGGGGCGCGAGAUAACUCUCUCUAAGGAACUCGGCAAAAUGACUCCGUAACUUCGGGAGAAGGAGUGCCUUAUUUAUAAGGUUGCAAUAACAAGAUCCAAGCAACUGUUUAUCAAAAACACAGGUCUCCGCUAAGUCGUAAGACGAUGUAUGGGGGCUGACGCCUGCCCAGUGCCAGAAGGUUAAAGAAGUUGGUUAGCAUUCGCGAAGCUGAUAACUGAAGCCCUGGUGAACGGCGGCCGUAACUAUAACGGUCCUAAGGUAGCGAAAUUCCUUGUCGGGUAAGUUCCGACCCGCACGAAAGGCGUAAUGAUUUGGAUACUGUCUCGGAGAGGGGCUCGGUGAAAUAGACUUGUCUGUGAAGAUGCGGACUACCUGCACCAGGACAGAAAGACCCUAUGAAGCUUUACUGUAACUUGAGAUUGAAAUUGGAUUUUACUUGCGCAGUAUAGGUGGGAGGCGUUGAUAAUAUUCUUGCGGGAUUAUUUGAGCCAUCAGUGAGAUACCACUCUUGUAAUGUUAGAUUUCUAACUUUGUAUCAUUAUCUGGUCAAAGGACAGUUUCAGGCGGGCAGUUUGACUGGGGCGGUCGCCUCCUAAACGGUAACGGAGGCGCACAAAGGUUUCCUCUGAACGGGUAGAAAUCGUAUCUAGAGUGUAAAGGCAUAAGGAAGCUUGACUGUGAGACCUACAAGUCGAGCAGGGACGAAAGUCGGUCUUAGUGAUCUGACGGUGCUGAGUGGAAAGGCCGUCACUCAACGGAUAAAAGUUACUCUAGGAUAACAGGCUGAUCUCCCCCAAGAGUUCACAUCGACGGGGAGGUUUGGCACCUCGAUGUCGGCUCAUCGCAUCCUGGGGUGGUAGUACGUCCCAAGGGUUGGGCUGUCCGCCCAUGAAAGCGGUACGCGAGCUGGGUUCAGAACGUCGUGAGACAGUUCGGUCCAUAUCCGGUGUAGGCGUUAGAAUAUUGAGAGGAGCCUUCUUUAGUACGAGAGGACCGAGAAGGACAUACCUCUGGUGUACCAGUUAUCGUGCCAACGGUAAACGCUGGGUAGCUAUGUAUGGAGUGGAUAACCGCUGAAAGCAUCUAAGUGGGAAGCCCACCUCAAGAUAAGUAUUCUCAUC